GUCUUUUUGGUAUUAAUUUAAAGUCUAAUCUGCCCACUGAUUAAAAAUUAAAGGGCUGCAGUAUAUUGACUGUACAAAGGUAGCAUAAUAAUUAGUCUUUUAAUUGAAGACUUGUAUGAAUGAUUUGAUGAGAUAUAAACUGUCUCUUUUUUAUAAUUAGAAUUUAAUUUUUUAGUAAAAAAGCUAAAAUUAUUUUAAAAGACGAGAAGACCCUAUAGAGUUUUAUAAUUAUUAUUAAUUAUAGUUAUAAAUAGAUAUAUAAAUUUAAAAUUGAUUAAUUAGAUUAUUUUAUUGGGGUGAUAGAAAAAUUUAAUAAACUUUUUUUAAAAAUUUAACAUUAAUUAAUGAUUAAUUGAUCCAUAAUUUAUGAUUAAAAGAAAAAAUUACCUUAGGGAUAACAGCGUAAUUUUUUUUUUUAGUUCUUAUAAGAAAAAAAGUUUGCGACCUCGAUGUUGGAUUAAGAUAAAAUUUAAAUGUAGAAGUUUAAAGUUUUGAUCUGUUCGAUCAUUAAAACCUUACA
This 520-nucleotide ribosomal RNA is filed under the name Polytremis lubricans. RNAcentral's name for it is "partial 16S ribosomal RNA". The stretch from base 394 to 520 matches the Rfam family "Bacterial large subunit ribosomal RNA", at positions 2473 to 2600 of the family's 2925-position model. The record is from RNAcentral. Lineage: Eukaryota; Metazoa; Arthropoda; Insecta; Lepidoptera; Hesperiidae.